CUCAAAAUUGGAAAUAUUGGAAAGUGUUGUAACCCCAGAGAGAGAGAGAGAGAGGGAAGCGUCAGCGUGAUGCGUUGGUGUUAGCGACUAGGCGUUGAUCAUGCCAUCAUAUCUGGAAUGGGGUCUCCGAGCCACACAAGUCAAUUGUUAAGAGAGAUUUUUCAUUUUUGUUGUCACCUUCUCAACCUCUUAGCAUAAUUGUGAUGGUCCCAGAGAUGGGCUUCAUGCGCAGUUGUUUAUCCAGAAUACAAAUACCCAUCUUGCCACGAGUGGAAUUCUGUCAGAUGCAAUGCACCGAAGUGCCUAAUCAACUUACCCUUUUUGAACGCAAUAUGAUGACAGUCCUCGCCACACUCGAAGAGCCACAUAGUCCUUGCUUAUGGAACCUUCUUCUAGCUUCAUCUUUUCACCCGGCAUGCGCAUUUAUUCAAAUGGACCUUUUUAGCCAGGAAUUAUGGACGCCCUACCUGCUAGCGCAGUGGCAAUCAAGAUAGGUACAGUGGGGCUGAAUACAGCUGAUCCGGUACCAAGUUCAAUGUACAGGAGCUCUUUGAAUUGGGGCCUGAUUCAAUUGACUCUUAAGCCAUUUGAUUUGUUGUGAUACUGCAUAUCACUGAACUAUAUAUAUGUAGGGAUAUUCUAGUUCAGGCUUGUUGAAUUUGGUUAAUUAAUUUGAGGAGAUGGAAAUUUUGCUGCUGAUAUUCCAUGUUUGGAGUGUUGUAGCUGCUAUCUGUUUACGCCACAAUUCUGCAGAAGGGGUGAAGCCCUGCAGACUAUGAAGUAUGAAGAUGAAAAGACAAAGUGAUCCAUUGGGUGUGCCAUGUUAUUUCCUGAGAUCGGAUCAUCAGGUACAUGUUCAGCCCAGUGUGCAAUGUGCAUAUUAAAUGAAUCCCUAUGAUACAGGGACCCGAUUCUUCCUUCUUCAAGUUUACCUUCUCUUCUCAUAGAUAAUGUUGCAAGUAGUAGGUGCAACAUUUAAUGAUCCACUUGCUUUUAUAAUGAUCAUUCUGUCCGUAUGCUGGUUGUAUUCUCUAGCUGAUUUAGAACUUACCUUCUGUGUAAUAUUUUCCUACAAUGAGCUAAAUGUCUAAAGGGGAAUGAUGUGACAGACCUUGACAUCUAGCUUAGAUUUGAGUUGAGCUACAAUCCAUACAAAUAUUUCAUGCAAAUUUAUGAAAUUAUUCACGUCUAAGGAAUAGCCUAUCUUACCCAGGUUUCUGUUUGAAAAUGGGUCUUUUCUGGGCAAGUGAUGGGAUAUGAUAUAUAAUGGUCCAAUUUCCUUGUGA
Vitis vinifera (wine grape) is the source of this 1286-nucleotide long non-coding RNA. RefSeq lists it as uncharacterized. The record is from RefSeq and is a predicted model, not a curated record. Lineage: Eukaryota; Viridiplantae; Streptophyta; Magnoliopsida; Vitales; Vitaceae. The transcript has 2 exons.